GGUGCCUCAUGCAAGGCCAGGCACCCAGAGGUGGUCAAUAAAUGUAACAUGUGGCCAGAUUCAGAACAGGUCAUUACUCUGGAAAACAAGCAAAACUAAACAGCCCUCCACGGAAAUAGCUGGCUGUGGCUUCAGGGAGCUACACUUCCAAAAGCAACUGAAAACCUCAGCAUCAAGCCAUGAAGCUCUGGAGGCCGCAGAACUCGCAAUGCAGCUCUAGGGUUCUGCAGGCCUCCUCAGGCGGACACGAUCAGUGCGUGCUGAGCACUCUGCGAGCUCCACACACUGUCCGCGUCACGGCACCGUCCUCAGGCGUCCAGAGUAACAGAACAUCCCUCUCGUGGUUGACGGGGAGAGGACUGGCCUGGGCGGUGUGA
This 377-nucleotide long non-coding RNA is filed under the name Chinchilla lanigera (long-tailed chinchilla). RNAcentral describes it as "lncRNA (ENSCLAG00000028380.1)". Lineage: Eukaryota; Metazoa; Chordata; Mammalia; Rodentia; Chinchillidae. The record is from RNAcentral.